GGCCAUGCUCGCCACCCUCGGCGCACUCGCUGUUGAGUCCCUCACCGGAGUCACCUGGCAGGAUGCGGGAAAGGUUGAGCUGGUAGAUGGAUCUUCUUACCUUGGGCUACCACUGCCCUUCUCCAUCACCACGCUGAUCUGGAUCGAGGUGCUGGUCAUCGGUUAUAUCGAAUUCCAGCGCAAUGCGGAGCUGGACCCUGAGUUGAGGCUCUACCCGGGAGGCAAGUUCUUCGACCCACUCGGCUUAGCUGCCGAUCCUGAGAAGAAGGAGACUCUCCAGCUUGCUGAGAUCAAACAUGCCCGUCUCGCCAUGGUCGGCUUCCUCGGCUUUGCCGUUCAGGCUGCUGUCACGGGCAAGGGUCCCCUCAACAACUGGGCUACUCACCUCAGCGACCCACUCCACACCACCAUCUUCGAUACAUUAUCAUCAUCCUAGUCACUUAACUAUGUAUCCAUCUCUGUAUCCGCUCGUGUUUCUUCGUUAGCUGCUAUCUGUG
RNAcentral lists this unclassified non-coding RNA (497 nucleotides) under Hevea brasiliensis (rubber tree). Lineage: Eukaryota; Viridiplantae; Streptophyta; Magnoliopsida; Malpighiales; Euphorbiaceae. The record is from RNAcentral.